UGUGGUAUAUUUACUUUGUACUCCACAGUACGUUAAUACAGAAAAAUAUUUCCCAGUUUCCACAAGUGCUUGAAGGUACGUACGUCAAUGUGAAUACUCACACACACGUGUACAUAAAUAGGCUUGGAAAGAUAUUAGGAACGUGAGAGGAAGAAGAUGUUGGCUACUAUUUUCCGACCGACAUGAGGCCUCGCUCCUGUGAUCUUAAGUGCGUGCAAAAGUAGCCACCCGUGUGCAGUGUGCUUUCGCCAUGUACGUUUUAAGUUUUAACCUGUCAGUGUCAGUUGUUUGCUUGCGUCAGUCGUCUAUCUCAAGAAAAAAAGUGUUUUCGAUCGUUUCUUAAAAUAUAAGGACUAUUCCACAUAAUUGGACUAUUCCACAUAAUUGGAAGAAGAUAUUACUUUUGCUAUGUAUACAUAGCCAUUGAAUCUUCAGUUGAUGAUCCCUUAAGAGCAACUCCAAUGUCAACUUCCUUCUUCACUUCAUCUACCUUCUUCAUCUUUUCUUUAGCUUCAUAUGCUUUGCUUAACUCAAAACCUUGAAGAAUCCCAACAAACUCAUCAAAAGCCAUCUCAUCUAGAUUAUGAGCUUCUUCAACUGCAGAAAUAUUUGACUCAAAUUUUGCAGGCAAUGAUCUCUUCAACUUCUUCACUAGCUUUUUGUCCUUGUAGACCUUUCCAAGAGCAAACGAUUCAUUAGAUAUGUCACAUAACUUUGCACUAAAAUCAGCCACAGUUUCCUCUUCUUCUAUCCUUAGAUUCUCAAAUUGCGAAGCCAACAUAUCCAAUUUCGUUCUCUUAACGCUUGUAGUACCUUCAAACAUAUUCUCCAAUGUCUUCCAUGCUUUUUGAGCUGAUGCACAUUGAGAAAUCAACUUAAAACGGCUUAAAUCAAUAGCAUUGUAAAUCGCAGUCUUAGCCUUAGAAUUACAACUUGAUAGCUUUUUCUCUGUAGCAGUCCACUUAUCUCUUGGCUUGAGACUUACAACUCCAUCAUCAUCCGUAACUUUAGGAGCCUCCCAACCAAGUUCAAUUGAAUUCCAACAAUCUUCAUCAAGAUUACUAAUAAAAGCUUGCAUACGAACCUUCCAAUAUCCAUAAUUCGCUGAAUCAAGAAGUGGUGGUCUUGUCAUAGAUGUACCUUCCUUGUAUGACUCCAUCUCACACGAUUCUCAGCUCUGACUUACUUUCUGAACGAUCUCCUGAACAAUCUUCUGAACGAUCUGCUGAACCUCACCCUGAUCUACCCGAAACAAGACUAAAUCUCUAUCGAGAACCCGCUCUGAUACCAAUUGUAAGUGCGGAUGAGGUAAGAUAAAUUGUAGAAAGUAAACGAGACAAGAAAUUUGUUAACGAGGUUCGGUUUUUCCUACUCCCCGGGACCAAGUCCAGAUUUUGAUUUCACUAGAACAAGAAAGCAAAUUACAACCAAUUCGGAAACGCGUAAAACAAGCCCAACCCUCUUGAUUUACCGCUCCCUUCUAUAACGUGAAACCUUAAGGAUAAUCUCUACCCUUAACUAAACUCCCAUUGAGUCUAGAUUUAAUCAGGAUAACCUAACCCUGAGCUAAACUCCCCUUGAGCCUAGACUUCAAAACAAAACCACUUGAUCACACAAGCACAAAACCCGCAAAACUAAGUUGUACAAAACCGCGAAACUAUGUCGCACACACCCUCUGAAAGCUCUCAAUGAUUUGCCUAUAUGCCUCAGCUCUCUUCCUCUCCAAGACGUCCUCCACUCCUCCUUAUAUAGCCAAAACGAUUUCCUAAUCACCAUAGGAGAAGAUUUCCAAUUUCCAUAAGAAAAAGUAAAUUUCCUUUUAUAGUUUUCCUUUUUCUCAUCAAACUCCACUUUCAUCAAGUCUUCCAAAUCUCUUUAAGUUCUUUUUCCUUUGUGAUUUAUCCUCUAAACACGCUCCAAACAUAUCUUCUCAAACCUUCUAGAAAUCGACACUCACACAAAAACAGUCGCAUCUUGACUUACUUCUUGAAUUAUUCAGCAACUCCAUCAGACAAACUCUUGUAUUACUUCUUGACUCAUUCAACAACUUAAUCAGACUCUAGCUACAUCUUAAUGUUAUGUGGUAUAUUUACUUUGUACUCCACAGUACGUUAAUACAGAAAAAUAUUUCCCAGUUUCCACAAGUGCUUGAAGGUACGUACGUCAAUGUGAAUACUCACACACACGUGUACAUAAAUAGGCUUGGAAAGAUAUUAGGAACGUGAGAGGAAGAAGAUGUUGGCUACUAUUUUCCGACCGACAUGAGGCCUCGCUCCUGUGAUCUUAAGUGUGUGCAAAAGUAGCCACCCGUGUGCAGUGUGCUUUCGCCAUGUACGUUUUAAGUUUUAACCUGUCAGUGUCAGUUGUUUGCUUGCGUCAGUCGUCUAUCUCAAGAAAAAAGUGUUUUCGAUCGUUUCUUAAAAUAUAAGGACUAUUCCACAUAAUUGAACCAGCUUUUGCUCUUCACGCCACUGAUUUUUUGGAAUAGUGUCUUUUGAGAUUUGAUCUUAUUUCAAUGAUUUUAUUUUUUAAUGAGUAUAAUCACCUUUUAUAACUCUAAUUAUUUCAAAGUGAGUAAAGGUUAAUUUUCUUUGUUUAAGUCUUAAUUACUUGACUGACCCCCAAACUACUGAAGCAAAUACACUACAAAAACCUUUUUGGGAAUAUCAAAAUCUAUGGGUAAAAUUUAGAAAUCUCUAUUAUGAUCAAUUCCAAAAUGAAAUAAGGCUAGAAAGAAAUCCAAUUCCUAGAGUUAUUUUAUUUUAAAGAAUAAAAUAGAAAAAUAAGUUUAAAAUGUUCUAAAACCGGUUAAAUAUGCGUCAAAGAGCUUCUCUUGGCUACAUCUCUUUCUUCAUAUCUCCUCUUCUCUUAUAUGGAACUCUUGAUACAAAGAACCUAGUCAAGAGAUGCAACAAUUGUUGGUGGGUCAUCAUCUCUUGGACGGUUGCUUGCAUCAUAUAAUUGAUGUCAAGGCUAUUCUCAACGAACUCCUUAACCACCAAAACUGG
Molecule: long non-coding RNA, 3008 nt
Filed under: Arabidopsis lyrata
Lineage: Eukaryota; Viridiplantae; Streptophyta; Magnoliopsida; Brassicales; Brassicaceae
Description: long non-coding RNA (ALYR_LNC002068)
Source: RNAcentral